GAUCCACAUAAAAAGCUGCUCUAUGAGACUUUAAACAGCAGCUGGAACAUUUCUAUUUUCUUUUUUAAAGGUUAUAUUGUUGAUAAGAAAUUCACUUCCGCUCAAUUUUAAUUGUCUAGUCUGGUUUCUAGUCUGUCUGGUAAGACCAGGCUACGCAUACACGGCCUCUGGCAUCUUCUGUGGCCCCUCCUCCUUAGGUGAACGCUGAUCAGUACAGGCUACUUCAGGAGACACAACACGGCUCGCUGCUCGCUUUACUUCAUGGAGAAGAUGAUCUGCAGCAUCCUGCUGCUCAUCAUCCUGACCUCCUGUGUCUCUGGAACAUUUGUAGUGAAUGUGACCCAGACCUCCUAUCAGGCAGAGGAGAACCACGACAUCACACUGGAGUGGACCUUCACAACCAACCCUCACAGUUCCUCCAACUCUCUUAAUAUCUUCUGUGAACUGUUAACUGAUCUCAGACCCUCAGUCCUGUUUCAUCUCCAUGAAGGAGUUGAGGUCCCAGAGUCUCAGGAUGAACAGUUUGCAGGACGAGUCCAGUGGGACAAAGACGUCCUCAGAGAAGGACGACUCAGACUUCAUGUGUCCAGACUCAGGACUGAAGACUCAGGACUGUACAAGUGUCAAGUGUUCACAAGUCAUGAGAGGAGCUCUGGUAAAUGUUGGCUCAAUGUCACUGGUAAGUUGAUUCAGGAAAACUGGAGUUUUU
This is a long non-coding RNA of Sander lucioperca (pikeperch), 709 nucleotides long. The record is from Ensembl. Lineage: Eukaryota; Metazoa; Chordata; Actinopteri; Perciformes; Percidae.